CGCGUUUUUCGCCCAGGCGGAGCUCGACCGCCGUUUGAAGAGCUAAAGCACUUCAUCGACCAACACCGUCACACGUUCGGGGUCGAGCCCAUCUGCCGGGUUUUGCAGAUGGCCCCG
This is a non-coding RNA of Thauera sp. 63, 117 nucleotides long. The record is from Rfam. NCBI's taxonomy places the organism in Bacteria, Pseudomonadati, Pseudomonadota, Betaproteobacteria, Rhodocyclales, Zoogloeaceae.